This 456-nucleotide ribosomal RNA is filed under the name Streptococcus sp. oral taxon C65. Its description in RNAcentral is "bacterial SSU rRNA". It matches the Rfam family "Bacterial small subunit ribosomal RNA", at positions 28 to 468 of the family's 1533-position model. Lineage: Bacteria; Bacillati; Bacillota; Bacilli; Lactobacillales; Streptococcaceae. The record is from RNAcentral.
GACGAACGCUGGCGGCGUGCCUAAUACAUGCAAGUAGAACGCUGAAGAGAGGAGCUUGCUCUUCUUGGAUGAGUUGCGAACGGGUGAGUAACGCGUAGGUAACCUGCCUUGUAGCGGGGGAUAACUAUUGGAAACGAUAGCUAAUACCGCAUAACAAUGGAUGACACAUGUCAUUUAUUUGAAAGGGGCAAUUGCUCCACUACAAGAUGGACCUGCGUUGUAUUAGCUAGUAGGUGAGGUAACGGCUCACCUAGGCGACGAUACAUAGCCGACCUGAGAGGGUGAUCGGCCACACUGGGACUGAGACACGGCCCAGACUCCUACGGGAGGCAGCAGUAGGGAAUCUUCGGCAAUGGGGGCAACCCUGACCGAGCAACGCCGCGUGAGUGAAGAAGGUUUUCGGAUCGUAAAGCUCUGUUGUAAGUCAAGAACGAGUGUGAGAGUGGAAAGUUCACA